This 440-nucleotide ribosomal RNA is filed under the name Triticum aestivum (bread wheat). RNAcentral describes it as "partial small subunit ribosomal RNA". The record is from RNAcentral. Lineage: Eukaryota; Viridiplantae; Streptophyta; Magnoliopsida; Poales; Poaceae.
CUGAUGCUCCGGCUGCGACGACGACGGGUCAAGCUGAUGCCUCAACUGCUGGGGAGAGAGAACGGUCUCGUUGGUCAGCAACUUCGGGUCCUCUGCCUGCGGUGACAGCUGCUUCUGAGGAUGAUGGUGAUCUCCACGGAUGAUGAUGUACGUCCGGCGACUGCUACUGGUCCUCAUCAAUCCUCCUAGGGUACGUCCUCCGGACGCGGAGAAAGCUAGACAUAGGGUCAAACACGAUCGGUAGAAUUCCGUUGAACAAAUUGAAUACAGACAUGAGUCUAUAACAACUAAGGCGACUGAGCAAAUAGAAGCUCGUGAACAUAAUCUCGGGAGUUCCGGGAACCGAACAUUAUACUACGAACAUACUGAAUAAAAUGAAAAAUCUCAACACAACACUAUAGAAGGGUACUCAGGGACUAGAACUAGCAUAUGUAAACGCA